ACUUGAAUUGAAGAGUUUGAUCAUGGCUCAGAUUGAACGCUGGCGGCAGGCUUAACACAUGCAAGUCGAACGGUAGCAGGAGAAAGGUUGCUUUCUUGCUGACGAGUGGCGGACGGGUGAGUAAUGCUUGGGAAUCUGGCUUAUGGAGGGGGAUAACGACGGGAAACUGUCGCUAAUACCGCGUAUUAUCGGAAGAUGAAAGUGCGGGACUGAGAGGCCGCAUGCCAUAGGAUGAGCCCAAGUGGGAUUAGGUAGUUGGUGGGGUAAAGGCCUACCAAGCCUGCGAUCUCUAGCU
Molecule: ribosomal RNA, 295 nt
Filed under: Haemophilus influenzae
Lineage: Bacteria; Pseudomonadati; Pseudomonadota; Gammaproteobacteria; Pasteurellales; Pasteurellaceae
Description: partial 16S ribosomal RNA
Rfam family: Bacterial small subunit ribosomal RNA
Source: RNAcentral